UGAGGAAUAUUGGUCAAUGGGCGAGAGCCUGAACCAGCCAAGUCGCGUGAAGGAAGACUGCCUUAUGGGUUGUAAACUUCUUUUAUACAGGAAUAAAAAGGCUUACGUGUAGGCCAUUGCAAGUACUGUAUGAAUAAGCAUCGGCUAACUCCGUGCCAGCAGCCGCGGUAAUACGGAGGAUGCGAGCGUUAUCCGGAUUUAUUGGGUUUAAAGGGUGCGCAGGCGGGCUUUUAAGUCAGCGGUGAAAUCUGGACGCUUAACGUCCAAACUGCCGUUGAAACUGGGAGUCUUGAGUAUGGAUGAAGUAGGCGGAAUUCGUUGUGUAGCGGUGACAUGCAUAGAUAUAACGAGGAACUCCGAUUGCGUAGGCAGCUUACUAAGCCAUAACUGACGCUCAUGUACGAAAGCGUGGGGAUCAAACAGGAUUAGAUACCCUGGUAGUCCACGCCCUAAACGAUGUCAACUAGUUGUUGGGGAUUCAUUUCCUUAGUAACGUAGCUAACGCGUGAAGUUGACCGCCUGGGAGUACGGUCGCAAGAUUAAAACUCAAAGG
RNAcentral lists this ribosomal RNA (553 nucleotides) under uncultured bacterium. RNAcentral's name for it is "partial 16S ribosomal RNA". It matches the Rfam family "Bacterial small subunit ribosomal RNA", at positions 355 to 907 of the family's 1533-position model. The record is from RNAcentral.